RNAcentral lists this ribosomal RNA (1484 nucleotides) under uncultured organism. RNAcentral describes it as "bacterial SSU rRNA". It matches the Rfam family "Bacterial small subunit ribosomal RNA". The record is from RNAcentral.
AGGACGAACGCUGGCGGCGUGCUUAACACAUGCAAGUCAAGGAGAAAGGAUAUCUUCGGAUAUCUGAUUACACUGGCGGAUGGGUGAGUAACGCGUAGGCAACCUACCUUCAGGUUUGAGAUAACACUGCUAACGCGGUGCUAAUACCGGAUGGUGCAUAUACACUGCAUGGUGUAUAUGUUAAAGCUGGCCACUGAUAUAAGCUAGUACCUGUAGAUGGGCUUGCGUUUCAUUAGUUAGUUGGUGGGGUAAUGGCUCACCAAGGCGACGAUGGAUAGCCGGCCUGAGAGGGUGAUCGGCCACACUGGGACUGAGAUACGGCCCAGACUCCUACGGGAGGCAGCAGUGAGGAAUAUUGCGCAAUGGCAGAAAUGCUGGCGCAGCAACGCCGCGUGAGGGAUGAAGCUUUUCGGAGUGUAAACCUUUGUUAGGAGGGACGAACGGGCAUAAUACGAAUAGGGUUAUGCCGUGACGGUACCUCCAGAGGAAGCCCCGGCUAACUCCGUGCCAGCAGCCGCGGUAAUACGGGGGGGGCAAGCGUUGUCCGGAAUCAUUGGGCGUAAAGGGCGCGUAGGCUGACAGGUCAGUCUGUGGUGCAAUCUUGUGGCUUAACCGUAAGUUUGCCAUGGAAACUACCUGUCUUGAGAUCGGAAGGGGGAAGCGGAAUUCCUGGUGUAGCGGUGAAAUGCGUAGAUAUCAGGAAGAACACCGGUGGCGAAGGCGGCUUCCUGGUCCGAGACUGACGCUGAUGCGCGAAAGCGUGAGGAGCGAACAGGAUUAGAUACCCUGGUAGUCCACGCUGUAAACGAUGGGCACUAGGUGUUGGGCGUCAAGUUCAGCGCCGGAGCAAACGCAUUAAGUGCCCCGCCUGGGGAAUACGAUCGCAAGAUUGAAACUCAAAGGAAUUGACGGGGGCCCGCACAAGCGGUGGAGCAUGUGGUUUAAUUCGAUGCAACGCGAAGAACCUUACCUGGGCUUGAACUGCAGAGGCACGUACCCUGAAAGGGGUAUUUCCUUCGGGACUUCUGUAGAGGUGCUGCAUGGCUGUCGUCAGCUCGUGCCGUGAGGUGUUGGGUUAAGUCCCGCAACGAGCGCAACCCUUGCUCUUAGUUGCCAUCAGGUAAAGCUGGGCACUCUAAGGGGACUGUCCCGGAUAACGGGGAGGAAGGUGGGGAUGACGUCAAGUCAUCAUGGCCCUUACGUCCAGGGCUACACACGUGCUACAAUGGCCGGUACAACGGGAAGCGAGACCGUGAGGUGGAGCCAAUCCCUUAAAACCGGUUUCAGUUCAGAUUGUAGUCUGCAACUCGACUGCAUGAAGUUGGAAUCGCUAGUAAUCGCGGAUCAGCAUGCCGCGGUGAUACGUUCCCGGGCCUUGUACACACCGCCCGUCACGCCAUGGGAGUCGAUAGCACCCGAAGCCGGUGGCCCAAUCUUCGGAGGGGAGCCGUCGAAGGUGAGAUCGGUGACUGGGGCGAAGUCGU